This is a long non-coding RNA of Rosa rugosa (rugosa rose), 3004 nucleotides long. RefSeq lists it as uncharacterized. The transcript has 8 exons. The record is from RefSeq and is a predicted model, not a curated record. Lineage: Eukaryota; Viridiplantae; Streptophyta; Magnoliopsida; Rosales; Rosaceae.
GGUGAGUUCACUGUUACUACUGUUCAUCAAAGGGAGGAAAAGGCGAUUUUACCCUUACUGUUCGUGGAGAAUAUCAAGCUGGUCUUCUAUAAACCGUGAAUAAAGAAAACGCCUUGAUUUGGUAGUGGAUUCGGGAACCUUCGCAAAAACAAAAAAAAGAAUCACCGACUGAAAGAGAGAGCGAGAGAGAGAGAGAGAGAGAGAGAGAGUUCGGUUCUGCUGUGUUUCUUCGUCUCGCUUAGAUUGAUAGUGAGGGAGGUUGUUGAUCGGCAUAGACAGGUCUCAAUUUUCGUUUGUUUCCAGCUUGGAGGCAUAAAAGAUUGUAUCGGAAUUGCAAAGCUCUGAUUUUUGGUGUGGGUGGAGGCUUUUAAUUAGAAUUGGAGCAGAAUUGGAGUCAGGGGAAGAGUAACAUUUGGGUCUAGGCUUUGAUCAGGUAGCAACUAUACUUAUCUAAUUGGGUGUGAUUUUUUUUUUCCUUCUCUUCUUGCAGAACUGGACAAUAACUUUAUAGGAUUGUGGUGCUCUUUUGUAACAAUAUCUCUCUAUUUGAAGCUAUGAUGAAAUUCAGCUUUGUUUUUUAUUCUCUGCCACUGUGUUUCAGUUAUAUUGAGCUAUUGGAUUUUGUGUUUUAUCGUUGUUGUGAUUGUCGGAGGUUUGGUUAGAAGCUGAGUUUUUUUCGUGCAGUCUGAGUUACUGUUGUGAUUUUGCCCUAUAUUUGUUGUGAUCCAUUCGAGUUACUCUUCUAAAUUAAUUUCAUGAUUUUCAUCAUCUAUAUUUGUUGUGAUCCAUUCGAGUUACUGUUCAUUCAUGGGGAAAAAGACGAUUUUGCCUCAUUUGACAUUUUUUUACGGCUCUGCCACUGCCUCUUUUUUCUUCUCUCUUCCUCCCUUCUGCCUCCCAGACCGAGUUUUUUCCUCUCUCUUCCCCCCUCUGCCUCCUAAACCGAACAGCAGCAGCUGCGUGAGGUAAUGAAUUCCUUGCUACGUUUUGGUUGUUUUUGCUUCUCCACUUCGUUGUUUGGUUAGCUUGGUUUAAUAUAGCUUGAGAAAUUUGAUUUGGGUUUGUGAAAGAAUAAAGAUUGAUUCUUUUCUUAUGUAAAUUGAGGGAAUUGAUGGGAAUUUGAAGAAAUGGAUUUUAAAGUUUGCUAGAGCACAGAGCAGAUCUCAGCCAUCACUAUUCACUAAUUAGGUAGCUGUGAAGGGAUUUGCAUAAGAACUUUCAAGCAGGAUUGAGCUCCCAUCUCCUUUAAUCCGGGUUGGAAAGUGAUUGGAACAGCAAGUAGUGCUUAAAAGAAGAGACUUGCAGAAAAUUCAGUUUGUCUUCAAGUUAGAUUUUAUGCGCAAGGGUAUCUGAUUGAUUGCAGAUAGAGGUUUUACUCUUCUUCUUUUUUUGUGUUGGAAGAUUCAGUUUGUCUUCAAGUUAGAUUUUAUGCACAAGGGUGUGCACGUGAUUCUCCUGCCGCUGUUCCUUUGCGUAUUGUUUGGGAUUAUUUCAGUAUUGUAUUCUUCUUUAGAUAGAGGUUUUUCUCUUCUUCUUUUCUGUGUUGGAAGUGUAGUGCCUGCCUGCCUUUGUCUUUCUCCGUCUGGAAGGUGAGUUGUUUAUUUGAGAGGUUUGGAUGAAAAUUCCUCAUAACAGUCUUAAUGUACUUAGAUUGCAGUGUUUAUUAUGAUUUGAAGUGAAUCUAAAAUUCCUCUUCGUGUUUUGGGUCCCUCCUUUGCUUUUACACUUUAAAGCCCUUGCUGCCUAAAUUCAACAACACAUAAAUAGUCUGCUUAUGUCUAUAGAUGGUCUCAAUACUCAAAGUAAAGGAAGAUACUGUUUGUUUUGGUAAAAGUCAAAUUUGGUAUUCAAAUCGAUGGUAUAUUUAUCAUGUUUAUUAUGAUCAUCAUUGUUGUACAUGUUUAUAAAAUGAUAAAUCCUUGGUUUAACAGACAACUUUGUUUGAUGCCACUGAUAUAGACGUAAUCCAGGAUUCACUUGGUUGGAAAUGAAAUUUGUUAAUAUGAUUGUGGAAAUAAAGUUUGAUUGAAAUCGGUAAGGUUCUAAAGUUUGAUUGAAAUCAGUAAGGUUCGAAAGUUUGAAGCUGUAGUAGAAAGGAAAAGAAGAGGGAUUGAAAUCGGUAAGGUUCUAAAGUUUGAAGCUUUCAUUUGGUUAGAUUUUGGGGGUUGCGUUUUUGUUGUUUUUUGCUGGAAUUGGGUUUUGGGUUUGAUUUGUUGUUUGGUUGUCUUUCGCAGUUCUAAAUAUUGUUCACUUAAAUAUCUAGGAAAGAAGAAUAAGGAUUGAAAUCGACGAACAGAUGAAUUAGCUAGAUUUUGACCGGAAACCGGAAACCUCACUACCAUGUUGACAGUAGAUUGCACGUUGGAUUCCACACAAAUUUGAUAUCCGGAACCAGUUUCUAUAUAAACGGUGCUUUAAGAUGAACACCUACCGUCUCUAAUCCAUCUUCUGUCUAAUAUACAAUAUUCAUAAGCAUCCCUAGGCUAAUUAAAAGCUCUAUACAUGUAUGAAUGCAUCUUCAGUUUAAUUAAAAUUAAAAGUCCCCGUGAUUCUUCCUUAAUGAUCAGCUAAUUUCGUACCAUUAAACUGUUAAUUAUUGUGCUUCAACGUCUAACUAAUGUAAAAAUAGAGGCAUGGUGUUCAAUUGCAGCAAAGUAGUAUACUCCCCUCAUUUGCCAGUAACUAAUGUUCUGUUGUGUUUUAUCAUUGCACUGUUUCUAAUUACCAAUCGCACAAAUGUCCAAGGAUGUGGUGCUUUUCCGACUAUAAACUCUGAUCUUUUUCUUUUUUCAAUCAAAUUACUUUUCCUUGAUACAGAAGCUUCUGCAGAACUGUGGUUAAUUGAACUUUAGUUGUUUAUCUGCAUUUGCUUUUCAAUCCACAUAUAAUCGCGUCAUUCCAUUCAUGUUCCCCUUACCUUCUUCUCUAAACUAUUUUACUUCUAUGAAUAAGAAACGUUAACCUCAAAUAUAAUAAUGCUAUUCUUACUAAUUCUUCAAAUAUU